RNAcentral lists this ribosomal RNA (421 nucleotides) under uncultured bacterium. Its description in RNAcentral is "bacterial SSU rRNA". It matches the Rfam family "Bacterial small subunit ribosomal RNA", at positions 361 to 774 of the family's 1533-position model. The record is from RNAcentral.
AUCUUCCGCAAUGGGCGAAAGCCUGACGGAGCAACGCCGCGUGAGUGAUGAAGGGUUUCGGCUCGUUAAACUCUGUUAUCAGGGAAGAACAAAUGUGUAAGUAACUGUGCACAUCUUGACGGUACCUAAUCAGAAAGCCACGGCUAACUACGCGCCAGCAGCCGCGGUAAUACGUAGGUGGCAAGUGUUAUCCGAAAUUCUUGGGCGUAAAGCGCGAGUAGGCGGUUUCUUAAGUCUGAUGUGAAAGCCUACGGCUCAACCGUGGAGGGUCAUUGGAAACUGGGAAACUUGAGUGCAGAAGAGGAAAGUGGAAUUCCAUGUGUAGCGGUGAAAUGCGCAGAGAUAUGGAGGAACACCAGUGGCGAAGGCGACUUUCUGGUCUGUAACUGACGCUGAUGUGCGAAAGCGUGGGGAUCAAACA